UGGGGAAUUUUGGACAAUGGGGGCAACCCUGAUCCAGCCAUCCCGCGUGUGCGAUGAAGGCCUUCGGGUUGUAAAGCACUUUUGGCAGGGAAGAACAGCCUGGGAUAAUACCCCGGGCGACUGACGGUACCUGCAGAAUAAGCACCGGCUAACUACGUGCCAGCAGCCGCGGUAAUACGUAGGGUGCAAGCGUUAAUCGGAAUUACUGGGCGUAAAGCGUGCGCAGGCGGUUCGGAAAGAAAGGUGUGAAAUCCCAGGGCUUAACCUUGGAACUGCACUUUUAACUACCGAGCUAGAGUACGUCAGAGGGGGGUAGAAUUCCACGUGUAGCAGUGAAAUGCGUAGAGAUGUGGAGGAAUACCGAUGGCGAAGGCAGCCCCCUGGGAUGAUACUGACGCUCAUGCACGAAAGCGUGGGGAGCAAACAGGAUUAGAUACCCUGGUAGUCCACGCCCUAAACGAUGUCAACUAGCUGUUGGGGUUUAUUAACCUUANUAGCGCAGCUAACGCGUGAAGUUGACCGCCU
Molecule: ribosomal RNA, 525 nt
Filed under: uncultured bacterium
Lineage: Bacteria
Description: partial 16S ribosomal RNA
Rfam family: Bacterial small subunit ribosomal RNA
Source: RNAcentral